This 1823-nucleotide long non-coding RNA is filed under the name Gossypium barbadense (sea-island cotton). RNAcentral's name for it is "long non-coding RNA (GBAR_LNC006757)". Lineage: Eukaryota; Viridiplantae; Streptophyta; Magnoliopsida; Malvales; Malvaceae. The record is from RNAcentral.
UAACUAUUUACCAAUCACUUAAUCCUGCAUUAGUUAUUAGCUCAUCAAUGAAUCUCAAUUCAAUCUCUAGGCAUACAUGUUGUAAGCCACAUCACAAGAGAUAAUAACAUACAUGCAUAAGAAUAAUCAUAUGGCCCAUAACGAUAUUAGCCGACAUAGGCCAAUUUACAUGACUAAUACUACCUUAAUAACAAGCCAAUGCCUUUGGCUAAAUCAUAAUAUUACAUACUCACAUUAAAACCCUAUACAUGCCAUAGACUAGAAUCACUUGAGUUUACUUACGCCGAUAGCGUUAACUCGACAGUGUGAUAAUAUCUCUAACGGCCUUCAACCCGAGCUAACCUGGAAACUCUAGAAAACAUGGGAAAGAAGGGGGGUAAGCUUUCGCUUAGUAAGUUCAUAUGAAAACAAUAAGCAACUCAUUAACUUGUUUUAUCAAUGUUUACAACAUAUUCUCAAGUUCACUGCAAGCUGUCUUCCUGAGCAAUAGUCACUAAAUUAUUUAUAUCUGGAGCUACGAAACUCCAAAUUAAGUUCCGUUAAUUUUUCCUGAAACUAGACUCAUUUAUCUUUCUUUCAUAAAAUUUCCAGAAUUUUUGACUUAGCCAAUUAGUACAGUUUACUCCUCAAGUUUGCUCCUGAUUCACUGUCUCACAGUUUCAACCCUUCUGCACUAAAGUUCAAUUAUCUCAUAGUACAGGAUUCGAAUAAUGUUCUCGUCUAUUUAUCUUGAAAUUAUACUCAUAUGUAUACUUACUAAUUUUUUUCUAGAAUUUUUGGUCAAGCCAUUUAGUACAGUUUAUUAGUUAAAGUCUCCCCUGUUUCAGGGUAUGACCACUCUGACCCUUGUGUACUACGAACCGAAUUUCUCCCUGUACAAAAUUCCAACGACGAUGCCAUUUUUUCCCUUAAAAAUAGACUCAAUAAGGAAUCCAUGCAAGUAAGGUAUGACUCUUAAUAAUUUUUUUACAAUUUAUGAUGAAUUUCUAAAGUUAGAAUAGGGGAUCUCGAAUUCAUUCAGAUCCUGUUUUACAAGAAUUCAAAUAUCACACAAUAUAGAAUUCUUUUUCUUCCUCUGUUUCUUUCAUGUGAAAAUAGACUCAUUAAGCUUUAAUCUCAUUUUUUAUUCUGCCUCUAACUAAUUUUCCACUAUUUUUAGUGUAUUUUCAAAGUUACAUUACUAUAGUAACUCAAAUUUGUCAAUGCUAAGUUACUCAUUCAUGAUCAUUGUUCACAAAAUUAAUACAACAUCAUUUCAUCCAUCAUGGUAAGAACACAUAUUAUGCAUCAUAGAUCAUCACAUAUCAAGGCAUUCUCAUAGGCUUAAUAUACAUACUUGCACAACUCGUAACAUAACUCAAGUGUAUACUCACCAAUGACUUACCUCGUUGGGACCAUCAUCAACUCUUUCCUUGGAUUACCCGUUGAACACUUGGAAUACUAAUUGGAUACUCGGAAAAGCCUUUGCACAUAAGUGCCUCAAUUGUAGCUAAAGCUACCUCAUAUCUCAUGACAUUUCAAUGCUCACUCUCGAGCUAGUCAUCUAGACUUAUAAUUUCUAGUGACAUGUCACUCGUAUCCUAUUCUAUUUCUAAGGUUCAAACGGGAUUUUUCCUCAUCUAUUAAGGCUUUGUCUUAUCAUAUUUCUAUUAAUCACAUACACUUAAUAUUUGUACAAUUCAUGUAAUGAUAACAUUUAAAUACAUGUAUAGCAUGGUAUUGUUUACAUACAAACUUACCUCGAUACCACAAAGGUGAAAAGGACAUAAUCAUCCCUUAAUCGAUUUCUUUCCGUUCUAGGUUCAAAUCUCGAUUUUCUUGAU